Molecule: small RNA, 27 nt
Filed under: Bombyx mori (domestic silkworm)
Lineage: Eukaryota; Metazoa; Arthropoda; Insecta; Lepidoptera; Bombycidae
Description: ovarian small RNA-26524
Source: RNAcentral
UCCAACUUUACCCUCAAUCUUGCUGCC